This 483-nucleotide ribosomal RNA is filed under the name uncultured bacterium. RNAcentral describes it as "partial 16S ribosomal RNA". It matches the Rfam family "Bacterial small subunit ribosomal RNA", at positions 30 to 507 of the family's 1533-position model. The record is from RNAcentral.
AUUGAACGCUGGCGGCAGGCCUAACACAUGCAAGUCGAGCGGAUGAAGGGAGCUUGCUCCUGGAUUCAGCGGCGGACGGGUGAGUAAUGCCUAGGAAUCUGCCUGGUAGUGGGGGAUAACGUCCGGAAACGGGCGCUAAUACCGCAUACGUCCUGAGGGAGAAAGUGGGGGAUCUUCGGACCUCACGCUAUCAGAUGAGCCUAGGUCGGAUUAGCUAGUUGGUGGGUAAAGGCCUACCAAGGCGACGAUCCGUAACUGGUCUGAGAGGAUGAUCAGCCACACUGGAACUGAGACACGGUCCAGACUCCUACGGGAGGCAGCAGUGGGGAAUAUUGGACAAUGGGCGAAAGCCUGAUCCAGCCAUGCCGCGUGUGUGAAGAAGGUCUUCGGAUUGUAAAGCACUUUAAGUUGGCAGGAAGGGCAGUAAGUUAAUACCUUGCUGUUUUGACGUUACCAACAGAAUAAGCACCGGCUAACUUCGUG